UACGUAGGGGGCGAGCGUUGUCCGGAAUUACUGGGCGUAAAGAGCUCGUAGGUGGUUUGUCGCGUUGUCCGUGAAAACUCACAACUCAAUUGUGGGCGUGCGGGCGAUACGGGCAGACUGGAGUACUGCAGGGGAGACUGGAAUUCCUGGUGUAGCGGUGGAAUGCGCAGAUAUCAGGAGGAACACCGGUGGCGAAGGCGGGUCUCUGGGCCGAUACUGACGCUGAGGAGCGAAAGCAUGGGUAGCGAACAGG
Molecule: ribosomal RNA, 253 nt
Filed under: uncultured bacterium
Lineage: Bacteria
Description: partial 16S ribosomal RNA
Rfam family: Bacterial small subunit ribosomal RNA
Source: RNAcentral